Carassius auratus (goldfish) is the source of this 909-nucleotide long non-coding RNA. RefSeq lists it as uncharacterized. NCBI's taxonomy places the organism in Eukaryota, Metazoa, Chordata, Actinopteri, Cypriniformes, Cyprinidae. The transcript has 3 exons. The record is from RefSeq and is a predicted model, not a curated record.
UUACGGUGGAGAUAUGAAGCGUUUGCGCUAGAGACAAAUCCAGCAAACCUACGCAUUGGGAGUUGUGAUGGGGGAUAAGUUAUGUAGAAGUUCGAGUCUAACUGGGAAAUAACAAUCUACUAAACUACAAGGUGCCAGAAGAGCGUUUAGGCCUAAUCGCGACAGUUUCCUUGGUGAUUAGAGGAACAGUGGAAACUAAAGCCUCAUCCGGGUUACCAGGUAGAAGCAGGUUUGGAGAGAUUUUUGAAGAGGGAAAGUGUCUGAGAAAGGUGUGUGCUCACAGGACAGGAAAAAAGGCGAGAUGAGACUAGAUAGAUGCUAAUCAAAAUCACGUUAUGUUAUCACAUUCUAGGUCCUGGGGGGAAAAUCAUUUUUAAAAAUGUGGGAACCUGGACAAGCAUUUGAGUUUGAUUUUUACUAUUUUAGUAAUACCAUAGACUAUAGAAAGACUAUAAGACUAUAUAAUACCUUAAAAGGGACUUUGGUAAUAGGCUACCUAAUAAUGAAACAGAAUUUAAUACAUAUUUUUUAGAAAUACACAAUUCUGGCAUAAACAUUUCCAUUCCAAGUAUCAAUUAUUUGACAUAUCUGUCAUGUACAAAUGUACUUGUGGUUGCAGCUGUUGUUUUCAGGCUAAUAUUGUUUUUCAGGAAAUCAAAGAUUGUUGAUUCCUGUGUGCAGUUCCUUCUAAGUAAGUGAUUUUAGCUGUGGUUUUCAUGUCUAGGCAAAACAGUUGCAAAUGAUGAAAUCAUCAAAUGCAAACAGCUGCAUUAUCUCAAGAGUCAUUUUACGCAUACAGGGUUUUAUGAUUUGUUUGAUCUGUUAUAAGUUUAUUAUGUGUUGAAUAUCUCCUUCUCUUUCUUCCAACUCUUUUCUAGUUUACUUGAACUUCUGUCUCCCUUCCACUGU